UACGUAGGGUGCAAGCGUUGUCCGGAAUUAUUGGGCGUAAAGAGCUCGUAGGCGGUUUGUCGCGUCUGCUGUGAAAACUCGGGGCUUAACUCCGGGCCUGCAGUGGGUACGGGCAGACUAGAGUGCGGUAGGGGAGACUGGAAUUCCUGGUGUAGCGGUGAAAUGCGCAGAUAUCAGGAGGAACACCGGUGGCGAAGGCGGUUCUCUGGGCAUGACCUGACGCUGAGGAGCGAAAGUGUGGGGAGCGAACAGG
This 253-nucleotide ribosomal RNA is filed under the name uncultured bacterium. RNAcentral describes it as "partial 16S ribosomal RNA". It matches the Rfam family "Bacterial small subunit ribosomal RNA", at positions 524 to 776 of the family's 1533-position model. The record is from RNAcentral.